This 217-nucleotide ribosomal RNA is filed under the name Brumptomyia leopoldoi. RNAcentral's name for it is "partial 16S ribosomal RNA". Lineage: Eukaryota; Metazoa; Arthropoda; Insecta; Diptera; Psychodidae. The record is from RNAcentral.
GAUCUUUAUAUUAUUAUGGUUUUAUAAAUAAAAGAUAAAUUAAUUUUUAAAUUAUAGUAAUAUUAUAUUGGGGUAAUAAUAAAAUUUGUGAAAUUUUUAUUUUUUAAAAACAAUUUUAAUUGAUAAAUUGAUCCAUUAUUAGUGAUUAUAAGUUUAAGUUACCUUAGGGAUAACAGCGUAAUGAUUUUUGAGAGUUCUUAUCGAUAAAAUAGUUUGC